Molecule: long non-coding RNA, 540 nt
Organism: Bolinopsis microptera
Lineage: Eukaryota; Metazoa; Ctenophora; Tentaculata; Lobata; Bolinopsidae
Exons: 3
Source: RefSeq, a predicted model, not a curated record
AAAGAUUGAUCUAGAAGCUUUGACAGAGUUUUAGCUCUUUAUGUCUGCCACAUUGACUUUCUGAUGAAUAAAGGAAAAAAUCGUAGGUGAUAAGGUGACGUUUGCAGAGCGGCGUCUAUUAAAUAUCAUACCUUUAUGUUUGAAGCUGAGACCGGCGAUAUUCCCAAGUAAUACGGCAGAUGAAGACACAAGUUUUAGUAAGGGAGGGCUCCUGCAGAGAUCAAUUCACGGACGCUAAUGUUGCCUUGAAUUAUAGUAUGAUAACCGACAGAGAUCAAGUCAAAGUCAGGCCUGCAGCGACGAGCCCCUUUCUUUCGGAUUGUGAAGUGUAAUGUUAAUGUUUAAUGUAGCUGUUUAACGUCGAAAAUUGUUAGUUUGUAAUUGUUUUUGAGAAGCAAAAUAAUUAAUCUGAGAAGUGUUUCCAGUUUUAUAAAGCUCAGGCAUGGGCACCGUAUUGUUUAUUUAGUUAUAUUUUAUACAAUAUCUUUGACCUUUGUCGCAUUAAGUUGUAGUACUACUACUAGUAGCGGGGUAGUACUA